This 492-nucleotide ribosomal RNA is filed under the name uncultured bacterium. RNAcentral's name for it is "partial 16S ribosomal RNA". It matches the Rfam family "Bacterial small subunit ribosomal RNA", at positions 29 to 507 of the family's 1533-position model. The record is from RNAcentral.
AGUGAACGCUGGCGGUAGGCCUAACACAUGCAAGUCGAACGGCAGCACAGUAAGAGCUUGCUCUUACGGGUGGCGAGUGGCGGACGGGUGAGGAAUACAUCGGAAUCUACUUUUUCGUGGGGGAUAACGUAGGGAAACUUACGCUAAUACCGCAUACGCCCUACGGGUGAAAGCAGGGGAUCCUCGGACCUUGCGCGAUUGAAUGAGCCGAUGUCGGAUUAGCUAGUUGGCGGGGUAAAGGCCCACCAAGGCGACGAUCCGUAGCUGGUCUGAGAGGAUGAUCAGCCACACUGGAACUGAGACACGGUCCAGACUCCUACGGGAGGCAGCAGUGGGGAAUAUUGGACAAUGGGCGCAAGCCUGAUCCAGCCAUACCGCGUGGGUGAAGAAGGCCUUCGGGUUGUAAAGCCCUUUUGUUGGGAAAGAAAAGCAGCAGGUUAAUACCCCGCUGUUCUGACGGUACCCAAAGAAUAAGCACCGGCUAACUUCGUG